GUGGGAAGUUGAGCCAAGAAAUUCAUGUUAGACUUGUGGGAAUAGGUUUGUAAAGGGAGUGGAUAAGAAAAAGCUGGGAUUUCCCUCUGAAUUUGGCCCAUCUAGUUGGAUUGACUUCAGAGGCAGGUUUUUGUUGAGGGGGCACAUGUCAGAGUCGCCACUGUGGCUCACGUUCGGUGGCGGCACCAAGCUGGAAAUCAAACGGGCUGAUGCCAAGCCAACUGUUUCCAUCUUCCCACCAUCCAGAGAGCAGUUACAGGAUGGAACUGCCUCAGUCGUGUGCUUCCUGAACAACUUCUACCCCAAAGAAGCCAGUGUCAAGUGGGUAGUAGAUGGCAGUGAACAACGAAAUGGAAUUGUGAGCAGUACGACCGAUCAGGACAGCAAAGACAACACCUACAGCAUGAGCAGCACCCUCAUGUUGACCAAAGCAGAGUAUGAGAGUCACAGCUUGUAUGCCUGUGAGGUCACCCACAAGACGUCACCUACAGCCAUCGUCAAGAGCUUCAAGAAGGAUGAGUGUUAGAGCCGCAGGUCCUGAGUCACCACCACCUGCCCCUGGGACCCUGCUCUCUGGGACCAUCCUCAGUCUUCCCUCCUAAGGUCUUGGAGCUUUCUCCACAGACAACCUGCCACUGUUGCAGUCCUCAAAUCCCCUCCCUGCCUCAUCCCCCUCCCUUUCCUUGGCUUUUAUCAUGCUAAUAUUUGGGGAAGAUAUUGAAUAAAGUGAAUCUUUGCACUUGA
Non-coding RNA from Peromyscus maniculatus bairdii (prairie deer mouse), 744 nucleotides. The record is from the annotation of a RefSeq genome assembly. Lineage: Eukaryota; Metazoa; Chordata; Mammalia; Rodentia; Cricetidae.